UUGCGGUUAAAAAGCUCGUAGUUGGAUCUCGGCAAGCAGGGGCCGGUUCGCUCCAUAGCGUUACUGGCCCAUUUGCUUGUGUGAUUGGCGGAGGUUUCGGGGUGCUCUUUACUGAGUGUCCCGGGGCGCCGUCAGGUUUACUUUGAAAAAAUUAGAGUGCUCAAAGCAAGCUUUUCACGCUUGAAUAUUCGUGCAUGGAAUAAUGGAAUAGGAACUCGUUUCUAUUUUGUUGGUUUUCGGAAAUCGAGUUAAUGAUUAAUAGGGACAAUUGGGGGCAUUAGUAUUCAGGCGACAGAGGUGAAAUUCUUGGACCGUCUGAAGACUAACUACUGCGAAAGCAUUUGCCAAGAGUGUUUUCAUUAAUCAAGAACGAAAGUUAGAGGUUCGAAGGCGAUCAGAUACCGCCCUAGUUCUAACCAUAAACGAUGCCAGCUAGCGAUCCGCCGAGUUUUCUUUGUAGGCUCCGCGGGAAGCUUUCGGGAAACCAAAGCUUUUGGGUUCCGGGGGAAGUAUGGUUGCAAAGCUGAAACUUAAAGGAAUUGACGGAAGGGCACCACCAGGAGUGGAGCCUGCGGCUUAAUUUGACUCAACACGGGAAAUCUCACCAGGCCCGGACACUGGAAGGAUUGACAGAUUGAGAGCUC
Molecule: ribosomal RNA, 644 nt
Filed under: uncultured marine eukaryote
Lineage: Eukaryota
Description: SSU rRNA
Rfam family: Eukaryotic small subunit ribosomal RNA
Source: RNAcentral